GACGAACGCUGGCGGCGUGCUUAACACAUGCAAGUCGAACGCUGAAGCUCAGCUUUUGUUGGGUGGAUGAGUGGCGAACGGGUGAGUAACACGUGAGUAACCUGCCUCCUUCUUUGGGAUAACGCCCGGAAACGGGUGCUAAUACUGGAUAUUCACUGGUCUUCGCAUGGGGGUUGGUGGAAAGGGUUUUUCUGGUGGGGGAUGGGCUCGCGGCCUAUCAGCUUGUUGGUGGGGUGAUGGCCUACCAAGGCUUUGACGGGUAGCCGGCCUGAGAGGGUGACCGGUCACAUUGGGACUGAGAUACGGCCCAGACUCCUACGGGAGGCAGCAGUGGGGAGUAUUGCACAAUGGGCGCAAGCCUGAUGCAGCGACGCCGCGUGAGGGAUGGAGGCCUUCGGGUUGUGAACCUCUUUCGCUCAUGGUCAAGCCGCAACAAUGGUUGUGGUGAGGGUAGUGGGUAAAGAAGCGCCGGCUAACUACGUG
RNAcentral lists this ribosomal RNA (483 nucleotides) under uncultured bacterium. Its description in RNAcentral is "partial 16S ribosomal RNA". It matches the Rfam family "Bacterial small subunit ribosomal RNA", at positions 28 to 507 of the family's 1533-position model. The record is from RNAcentral.